UGAGGAAUAUUGGUCAAUGGGCGAGAGCCUGAACCAGCCAAGUAGCGUGCAGGAUGACGGCCCUAUGGGUUGUAAACUGCUUUUAUGUGGGGAUAAAGUGAGCUACGUGUAGUUUAUUGCAGGUACCACAUGAAUAAGGACCGGCUAAUUCCGUGCCAGCAGCCGCGGUAAUACGGAAGGUCCAGGCGUUAUCCGGAUUUAUUGGGUUUAAAGGGAGCGUAGGCCGUGGAUUAAGCGUGUUGUGAAAUGUAGACGCUCAACGUCUGAAUUGCAGCGCGAACUGGUUCACUUGAGUAUGCACAACGUAGGCGGAAUUCGUCGUGUAGCGGUGAAAUGCUUAGAUAUGACGAAGAACUCCGAUUGCGAAGGCAGCUUACGGGAGCACAACUGACGCUGAAGCUCGAAGGUGCGGGUAUCAAACAGGAUUAGAUACCCUGGUAGUCCGCACAGUAAACGAUGGAUGCCCGUUGUUAGUUCACUUAAGAAUUAGCGACCAAGCGAAAGCAUUAAGCAUCCCACCUGGGGAGUACGCCGGCCGGU
Molecule: ribosomal RNA, 540 nt
Filed under: uncultured bacterium
Lineage: Bacteria
Description: bacterial SSU rRNA
Rfam family: Bacterial small subunit ribosomal RNA
Source: RNAcentral